RNAcentral lists this ribosomal RNA (478 nucleotides) under uncultured bacterium. RNAcentral's name for it is "partial 16S ribosomal RNA". It matches the Rfam family "Bacterial small subunit ribosomal RNA", at positions 28 to 523 of the family's 1533-position model. The record is from RNAcentral.
GACGAACGCUGGCGGCGUGCUUAACACAUGCAAGUCGAGCGAUGAAGUUCCUUCGGGAAUGGAUUAGCGGCGGACGGGUGAGUAACACGUGGGUAACCUGCCUCAUAGAGGGGAAUAGCCUUUCGAAAGGAAGAUUAAUACCGCAUAAGAUUGUAGUACCGCAUGGUACAGCAAUUAAAGGAGUAAUCCGCUAUGAGAUGGACCCGCGUCGCAUUAGCUAGUUGGUGAGGUAACGGCUCACCAAGGCGACGAUGCGUAGCCGACCUGAGAGGGUGAUCGGCCACAUUGGGACUGAGACACGGCCCAGACUCCUACGGGAGGCAGCAGUGGGGAAUAUUGCACAAUGGGGGAAACCCUGAUGCAGCAACGCCGCGUGAGUGAUGACGGUCUUCGGAUUGUAAAGCUCUGUCUUCAGGGACGAUAAUGACGGUACCUGAGGAGGAAGCCACGGCUAACUACGUGCCAGCCGCCGCAGUAA